GUGGCGAGUGGCGACGGGUGAGUAAUACAUCGGAACGUGUCCUAGAGUGGGGGAUAGCCCGGCGAAAGCCGGAUUAAUACCGCAUACGCUCUAUGGAGGAAAGCGGGGGAUCUUCGGACCUCGCGCUCAAGGGGCGGCCGAUGGCGGAUUAGCUAGUUGGUAGGGUAAAGGCCUACCAAGGCGACGAUCCGUAGCUGGUCUGAGAGGACGACCAGCCACACUGGGACUGAGACACGGCCCAGACUCCUACGGGAGGCAGCAGUGGGGAAUUUUGGACAAUGGGGGCAACCCUGAUCCAGCAAUGCCGCGUGUGUGAAGAAGGCCUUCGGGUUGUAAAGCACUUUUGUCCGGAAAGAAAUCCUCUGCCCUAAUACGGCGGGGGGAUGACGGUACCGGAAGAAUAAGCACCGGCUAACUACGUGCCAGCAGCCGCGGUAAUACGUAGGGUGCGAGCGUUAAUCGGAAUUACUGGGCGUAAAGCGUGCGCAGGCGGUUCGCUAAGACCGAUGUGAAAUCCCCGGGCUUAACCUGGGAACUGCAUUGGUGACUGGCGAGCUAGAGUGUGGCAGAGGGGGGUAGAAUUCCACGUGUAGCAGUGAAAUGCGUAGAGAUGUGGAGGAAUACCGAUGGCGAAGCAGCCCCCUGGGCUAACACUGACGCUCAUGCACGAAAGCGUGGGGGAGCAAACAGGAUUAGAUACCCUGGUAGUCCACGCCCUAAACGAUGUCAACUAGUUGUUGGGGAUUCAUUUCCUUUAGUACGUAGCUACGCGUGAGUUGACCGCCUGGGGAGUACGGUCGCAGAUUAAACUCAAGUACUGACGGGCA
This 827-nucleotide ribosomal RNA is filed under the name Trinickia sp. RNAcentral describes it as "bacterial SSU rRNA". It matches the Rfam family "Bacterial small subunit ribosomal RNA", at positions 88 to 919 of the family's 1533-position model. The record is from RNAcentral. Lineage: Bacteria; Pseudomonadati; Pseudomonadota; Betaproteobacteria; Burkholderiales; Burkholderiaceae.